GAUGAACGCUGGCGGCGUGCUUAACACAUGCAAGUCGAACGAAGCACUUAUCUUUGAUUCUUCGGAUGAAGAGGUUUGUGACUGAGUGGCGGACGGGUGAGUAACGCGUGGGUAACCUGCCUCAUACAGGGGGAUAACAGUUAGAAAUGACUGCUAAUACCGCAUAAGGCCACGGAGCCGCAUGGCUCAGUGGGAAAAACUCCGGUGGUAUGAGAUGGACCCGCGUCUGAUUAGGUAGUUGGUGGGGUAACGGCCUACCAAGCCAACGAUCAGUAGCCGACCUGAGAGGGUGACCGGCCACAUUGGGACUGAGACACGGCCCAAACUCCUACGGGAGGCAGCAGUGGGGAAUAUUGCACAAUGGGGGAAACCCUGAUGCAGCGACGCCGCGUGAGCGAAGAAGUAUUUCGGUAUGUAAAGCUCUAUCAGCAGGGAAGAAAAUGACGGUACCUGACUAAGAAGCACCGGCUAAAUACGUG
RNAcentral lists this ribosomal RNA (479 nucleotides) under uncultured bacterium. RNAcentral describes it as "partial 16S ribosomal RNA". It matches the Rfam family "Bacterial small subunit ribosomal RNA", at positions 28 to 507 of the family's 1533-position model. The record is from RNAcentral.